Molecule: ribosomal RNA, 630 nt
Filed under: uncultured Gammaproteobacteria bacterium
Lineage: Bacteria; Pseudomonadati; Pseudomonadota; Gammaproteobacteria
Description: bacterial SSU rRNA
Rfam family: Bacterial small subunit ribosomal RNA
Source: RNAcentral
AAGGAAUUGACGGGGGCCCGCACAAGCGGUGGAGCAUGUGGUUUAAUUCGAUGCAACGCGAAGAACCUUACCUGCCCUUGACAUACAGCGAACCCUAAAGAGAUUUGGGGGUGCCGAAAGGAGCGCUGAUACAGGUGCUGCAUGGCUGUCGUCAGCUCGUGUCGUGAGAUGUUGGGUUAAGUCCCGUAACGAGCGCAACCCUUGUUCUUAGUUACCAUCAGGUUAAGCUGGGUACUUUAAGAAGACUGCCGGUGACAAACCGGAGGAAGGCGGGGACGACGUCAAGUCAUCAUGGCCCUUAUGGGCAGGGCUACACACGUGCUACAAUGGUUGGUACAGAGGGAGGCGAAGCGGCGACGUGGAGCAAAACUCAGAAAGCCAAUCGUAGUCCGGAUUGAGGUCUGCAACUCGACCUCAUGAAGUCGGAAUCGCUAGUAAUCGCAAAUCAGAACGUUGCGGUGAAUACGUUCCCGGGCCUUGUACACACCGCCCGUCACACCAUGGGAGUGGGUUGCACCAGAAGCAGAUAGCUUAACCGUAAGGGGGGCGUUUGCCACGGUGUGAUUCAUGANUGGGGUGAAGUCGUAACAAGGUAGCCGUAGGGGAACCUGCGGCUGGAUCACCUCCUUA